Molecule: non-coding RNA, 73 nt
Filed under: unclassified sequences
Description: RAGATH-18 RNA
Rfam family: RAGATH-18 RNA
About the family: Actinobacteria, Firmicutes, Fusobacteria, Thermotogae (1 example). Nearby to self-cleaving ribozyme genes
Source: Rfam by way of RNAcentral
ACUGUGGAGUGUACUUUGGAUCUGCCGGUAGCAGAUGGAAACAUCUGCGAAAGCAUACACGUUGAAGCAGUAA